AUUUAAAACUGAUGUUAGUAAAAUUGUGAUGGAACUAGACACGUUGGAAGUAGCUGAUGAAGAUAACAGUGAAAUAUCAGAUUCAGAGGAUGACAGUUGCAAGAGUAAAACUGCUGCUGCUGCUGCUGAUGUGAAUGGAUUUAAACCUUUGUCAGGCAAUGAGCUGAAGAACAAUGGGAACUCUACUAGCCUGCCUUUGUCUAGAAAGGUUCUUAAGUCACUCAAUCCUGCAGUCUAUAGAAAUGUGGAAUAUGAAAUUUGGCUGAAGUCUAAACAAG
RNAcentral lists this long non-coding RNA (278 nucleotides) under Pan troglodytes (chimpanzee). RNAcentral describes it as "long non-coding RNA NONPTRT013253". The record is from RNAcentral. Lineage: Eukaryota; Metazoa; Chordata; Mammalia; Primates; Hominidae.